Molecule: ribosomal RNA, 401 nt
Filed under: uncultured bacterium
Lineage: Bacteria
Description: bacterial SSU rRNA
Rfam family: Bacterial small subunit ribosomal RNA
Source: RNAcentral
GAUGAACGCUGGCGGCGUGCUUAACACAUGCAAGUCGAACGAAGCAAUUGGAGUGCUUGCACUUUGAUUGACUGAGUGGCGGACGGGUGAGUAACGUGUGGGUAACCCUGCCUCACACAGGGGGGAUAACAGUUGGAAACAGCUGCUAAUACCGCAUAAGCGCACGGUACCGCAUGGUACAGUGUGAAAAACUCCGGUGGUGUGAGAUGGACCCGCGUCUGAUUAGCUAGUUGGUAAGGUAACGGCUUACCAAGGCGACGAUCAGUAGCCGGCCUGAGAGGGUGAACGGCCACAUUGGGACUGAGACACGGGCCCAAAACUCCUACGGGAGGCAGCAGUGGGGAAUAUUGCACAAAUGGGGGAAACCCCUAGAUGCAGACGACGCGCGUGAACGAAGAGUA